RNAcentral lists this unclassified non-coding RNA (150 nucleotides) under uncultured Venturiales. RNAcentral's name for it is "sequence contains ITS1". The record is from RNAcentral. Lineage: Eukaryota; Fungi; Ascomycota; Dothideomycetes.
CUGGGUCACCGAGCGCUCCGGCGCUCACCCCCCACCCUUCGCUUCCCGCCCCAUGAUCGGCGUCAGGCGGGCCGGCCCUCUGGCCGGCCCUCCGGCCGAAACGCAAACUCUUGCAACCCUUUGCAGCCUGAAGUAAAAAACAAAUAGUUA